GAUGAACGCUGGCGGCGUGCCUAAUACAUGCAAGUCGAGCGAACAGACGAGGAGCUUGCUCCUCUGACGUUAGCGGCGGACGGGUGAGUAACACGUGGAUAACCUACCUAUAAGACUGGGAUAACUUCGGGAAACCGGAGCUAAUACCGGAUAAUAUAUUGAACCGCAUGGUUCAAUAGUGAAAGACGGUUUUGCUGUCACUUAUAGAUGGAUCCGCGCCGCAUUAGCUAGUUGGUAAGGUAACGGCUUACCAAGGCAACGAUGCGUAGCCGACCUGAGAGGGUGAUCGGCCACACUGGAACUGAGACACGGUCCAGACUCCUACGGGAGGCAGCAGUAGGGAAUAUUCCGAAAUGGGCGAAAGCCUGACGGAGCAACGCCGCGUGAGUGAUGAAGGUCUUCGGAUCGUAAAACUCUGUUAUUAGGGAAGAACAAAUGUGUAAGUAACUAUGCACGUCUUGACGGUACCUAAUCAGAAAGCCACGGCUAACUACGUG
RNAcentral lists this ribosomal RNA (497 nucleotides) under uncultured bacterium. RNAcentral's name for it is "partial 16S ribosomal RNA". It matches the Rfam family "Bacterial small subunit ribosomal RNA", at positions 28 to 507 of the family's 1533-position model. The record is from RNAcentral.